RNAcentral lists this ribosomal RNA (293 nucleotides) under uncultured bacterium. RNAcentral's name for it is "partial 16S ribosomal RNA". It matches the Rfam family "Bacterial small subunit ribosomal RNA", at positions 775 to 1067 of the family's 1533-position model. The record is from RNAcentral.
GGAUUAGAUACCCUGGUAGUCCACGCCGUAAACGAUGUCUACUAGCCGUUGGGGGACUUGAUCUUUUAGUGGCGCAGCUAACGCGAUAAGUAGACCGCCUGGGGAGUACGGCCGCAAGGUUAAAACUCAAAUGAAUUGACGGGGGCCCGCACAAGCGGUGGAGUAUGUGGUUUAAUUCGAAGCAACGCGAAGAACCUUACCAACUCUUGACAUCCAGAGAAGUUACUAGAGAUAGUUUCGUGCCUUCGGGAACUCUGAGACAGGUGCUGCAUGGCUGUCGUCAGCUCGUGUCG